AUUGAACGCUGGCGGCAUGCCUUACACAUGCAAGUCGAACGGCAGCACGGGAGCUUGCUCCUGGUGGCGAGUGGCGAACGGGUGAGUAAUGCAUCGGAACGUGCCCUGAAGUGGGGGGAUAACGUAGCGAAAGUUACGCUAAUACCGCAUAUUCUGUGAGCAGGAAAGCAGGGGAUCUUCGGACCUUGCGCUUUUGGAGCGGCCGAUGUCGGAUUAGCUAGUUGGUGGGGUAAAGGCCCACCAAGGCGACGAUCCGUAGCGGGUCUGAGAGGAUGAUCCGCCACACUGGAACUGAGACACGGUCCAGACUCCUACGGGAGGCAGCAGUGGGGAAUUUUGGACAAUGGGCGCAAGCCUGAUCCAGCCAUGCCGCGUGAGUGAAGAAGGCC
This 389-nucleotide ribosomal RNA is filed under the name uncultured bacterium. Its description in RNAcentral is "bacterial SSU rRNA". It matches the Rfam family "Bacterial small subunit ribosomal RNA", at positions 30 to 416 of the family's 1533-position model. The record is from RNAcentral.